Molecule: ribosomal RNA, 473 nt
Filed under: uncultured bacterium
Lineage: Bacteria
Description: bacterial SSU rRNA
Rfam family: Bacterial small subunit ribosomal RNA
Source: RNAcentral
CUCUGUGACUCCUACGGGAGCAGCAGUGGGAAUAUUGCACAAUGGGGCGCAAGCCUGAUGCAGCCAUGCCGCGUGUGUGAAGAAGGCCUUCGGGUUGUAAAGCACGUUUCAGUUGUGAGGAAGGUGGUGUCGUUAAUAGCGGCAUCAUUUGACGUUAGCAACAGAAGAAGCACCGGCUAACUCCGUGCCAGCAGCCGCGGUAAUACGGAGGGUGCGAGCGUUAAUCGGAAUUACUGGGCGUAAAGCGCAUGCAGGCGGCCUGUUAAGUCAGAUGUGAAAGCCCCGGGGCUUAACCUCGGAAUUGCAUUUGAAACUGGCAGGCUAGAGUCUUGUAGAGGGGGUAGAAUUUCAGGUGUAGCGGUGAAAUGCGUAGAGAUCUGAAGGAAUACCAGUGGCGAAGGCGGCCCCCCUGGACAAAGACUGACGCUCAGAUGCGAAAGCGUGGGGAGCAAACAGGAUUAGAUACCCUGGAG